AUCUUUUCUUACCCAUAGGUGUGUUAGCUUCAGUGGCAGACUGUAAUUUGGCCAUCGGAUCUCUGCUUCCAAUCCCAGUCUCCAUUUUCUGAUUCUUCUUUAAAGUCUUUCCACAGGCUGUACAGGACACGUGGCUGGGAGACCUCAGACAACUUUCAGUCAUGAUGGAAGGCAAAGGAGAAGCAGGUAGAUGUCUUAAAUG
RNAcentral lists this long non-coding RNA (202 nucleotides) under Homo sapiens (human). Its description in RNAcentral is "non-protein coding lnc-FAM135B-3:1". The record is from RNAcentral. Lineage: Eukaryota; Metazoa; Chordata; Mammalia; Primates; Hominidae.